CCUACGGGAGGCAACAGUGAGGAAUAUUGGUCAAUGGGCGAGAGCCUGAACCAGCCAAGUCGCGUGAAGGAUGACUGCCCUACGGGUUGUAAACUUCUUUUACAGGGGAGCAAAGUGAGGCACGUGUUCCUCCUUGUAUGUACUUUAUGAAUAAGGAUCGGCUAACUCCGUGCCAGCAGCCGCGGUAAUACGGAGGAUACGAGCGUUAUCCGGAUUUAUUGGGUUUAAAGGGUGCGUAGCUGGGAUGUUAAGUCAGGUGUGAAAGUGAGGGGCUCAACCGUCGAAUCGCAGUUGAAACUGGCAGCCUUGAGUGCGGUAGAGGUAAGCGGAAUUCGUGGUGUAGCAGUGAAAUGCAUAGAUAUCACGAAGAACUGCGAUUGCGAAGGCAGCCUACUGGCGCCCAACUGACGCUGAUGCACGAAAGCGUGGGUAUCAAACAGGAUUAGAUACCCCUGUAGUC
RNAcentral lists this ribosomal RNA (460 nucleotides) under uncultured bacterium. RNAcentral's name for it is "partial 16S ribosomal RNA". It matches the Rfam family "Bacterial small subunit ribosomal RNA", at positions 338 to 795 of the family's 1533-position model. The record is from RNAcentral.